UACGUAGGGUGCGAGCGUUGCCCGGAUUUAUUGGGCGUAAAGGGCGCGUAGGCGGCUCUGCACGUCCGUUGUGAAAUCGCCCGGCUCAACUGGGCGGGGUCAGCGGAUACGGCAGAGCUCGAGCAAGCUAGGGGGCAAUGGAAUUCCCGGUGUAGUGGUGGAAUGCGUAGAUAUCGGGAGGAACACCAGUGGCGAAGGCGGUUGCCUGGAGCUUUGCUGACGCUGAUGCGCGAAAGCGUGGGGAGCGAUCCGG
Molecule: ribosomal RNA, 253 nt
Filed under: uncultured bacterium
Lineage: Bacteria
Description: partial 16S ribosomal RNA
Rfam family: Bacterial small subunit ribosomal RNA
Source: RNAcentral